RNAcentral lists this non-coding RNA (35 nucleotides) under Erinaceus europaeus (western European hedgehog). RNAcentral's name for it is "XIST RNA A repeat". It matches the Rfam family "XIST RNA A repeat". Lineage: Eukaryota; Metazoa; Chordata; Mammalia; Eulipotyphla; Erinaceidae. The record is from Rfam by way of RNAcentral.
CUGCCCAUCGGGGCAUGGAUACCUGCUUAAUUUUU